UAUGUGAUCGUCUCUCGCAUAUCAAUAAGCGGAGGAAAAGAAACUAACAAGGAUUCCCCUAGUAACGGCGAGUGAAGCGGGAAGAGCUCAAAUUUGAAAUCUUAAAGGGUUUCCCAUUACGAAUUGUAGUUUAAAGAAGUGUUUUCUGUUGAGGUUUUGGUAAAAGUUCUUUGGAAUAGGACAUCAUAGAGGGUGAGAAUCCCGUAUUUGACCUUUACUUUCAACUUUGUGAUACACUUUCAAAGAGUCGGAUUGUUUGGGAAUGCAGUCCAAAAUGGGUGGUAAAUUUCAUCUAAAGCUAAAUAUUGGCGAGAGACCGAUAGCGAACAAGUACCGUGAGGGAAAGAUGAAAAGAACUUUGAAAAGAGAGUUAAACAGUACGUGAAAUUGUCAAAAGGGAAGCGUUUGACACCAGUGUUGUUUUUCUGAAGAUCAAUUAAAGAACUGUUUAUGCUAAGUUGUUUAGACUUUAUCAGCUAACUGUUUAGUUUUGAGCUUUUCUUUAAUGCACUUUUCAGUUAACAAGUCAACAUCAAUUUCUUUUGCUGUAAAAAAGCUUGAGGAAGGUGGCUUGAGAUUCGUCUUAAGUGUUUAUAGCCUCUUGCCUAUGCAGUCGGAGAGAUUGAGGUCUGCAGCGUAGAUCCUUCGGGGCUAAAUGCAUUUGUGCUAAGUUAUAGCAUUUUAUAGACAACUUGUUGACUAUGAUUUGUCUUGUAGCUUACUCGCUUAUGUUAUUUUACCUACGCUUAGGAUGUUGACGAGACUGUCGAUCUC
This 774-nucleotide ribosomal RNA is filed under the name uncultured Neocallimastigales. Its description in RNAcentral is "partial large subunit ribosomal RNA". It matches the Rfam family "Eukaryotic large subunit ribosomal RNA", at positions 24 to 646 of the family's 3401-position model. The record is from RNAcentral. Lineage: Eukaryota; Fungi; Neocallimastigomycota; Neocallimastigomycetes; Neocallimastigales.